This 404-nucleotide ribosomal RNA is filed under the name uncultured bacterium. RNAcentral's name for it is "bacterial SSU rRNA". It matches the Rfam family "Bacterial small subunit ribosomal RNA", at positions 917 to 1322 of the family's 1533-position model. The record is from RNAcentral.
GGACCCGCACAAGCGGUGGAGCAUGUGGUUUAAUUCGAUGCAACGCGAAAAACCUUACCUACACUUGACAUACUUCGAAUUUUCUAGAGAUAGAUUAGUGCCUUCGGGAGCGAAGAUACAGGUGCUGCAUGGCUGUCGUCAGCUCGUGUCGUGAGAUGUUGGGUUAAGUCCUAUAACGAGCGCAACCCUUACCCUUAUUUGCCAGCGGUUAGGCCGGGAACUAUAAGGGAACUGCCGGUAAUAAGCCGGAGGAAGGUGGGGACGACGUCAAGUCAUCAUGGCCCUUAUGGGCUGGGCUACACACGUGCUACAAUGGCAGUGACAGAGGGACGCUACCAGGUGACUGGAUGCAAAUCUCAAAAAGCUGUCUCAGUUCGGAUUGUUGUCUGCAACUCGACAACAUG